Molecule: ribosomal RNA, 254 nt
Filed under: uncultured bacterium
Lineage: Bacteria
Description: partial 16S ribosomal RNA
Rfam family: Bacterial small subunit ribosomal RNA
Source: RNAcentral
CUUUCUUUGCUGGCGACCGGCGCACGGGUGAGUAACACGUAUCCAACCUGCCCUUUACUCGGGGAUAGCCUUUCGAAAGAAAGAUUAAUACCCGAUAGCAUAAUGAUUCCGCAUGGUUUCAUUAUUAAAGGAUUCCGGUAAAGGAUGGGGAUGCGUUCCAUUAGGUUGUUGGUGAGGUAACGGCUCACCAAGCCCUCGAUGGAUAGGGGUUCUGAGAGGAAGGUCCCCCACAUUGGAACUGAGACACGGUCCAA